RNAcentral lists this ribosomal RNA (201 nucleotides) under uncultured bacterium. RNAcentral's name for it is "partial 16S ribosomal RNA". It matches the Rfam family "Bacterial small subunit ribosomal RNA", at positions 149 to 334 of the family's 1533-position model. The record is from RNAcentral.
GUCGGAAACGAACUGCUAAUACCGCAUAAUGCAGCGGCAGCUCAUGCUGACAGUUGUUAAAGCGGGGGAGUCGCAAGACCUCGCGCCUAAAGAGAAGCCGCGGCGGAUUAGCUAGUUGGUGAGGUAAUGGCUCACCAAGGCGUCGAUCCGUAGCCGGCCUGAGAGGGCGGUCGGCCACACUGACACUGAAUAACGGGUCAG